CUUGAAUGUGCUUACGCAUCACCUGGGGGAGCUUGUUAAGAUGCAGUUUCUGAUCCAGCAUCUGAGAGCCUCAUUUCUAACCUGCUCGCAGGUUUAGGGCCAUGUGAAGAGUGAGGCCUCAGUUUCAGGCAGUCUUUCCGCGGAGCUCCCAGCAGAGUGAGCUUCAACUCACAGCUCCAGCGGCAUGGAGAGGAGGCCUGGCACUGAGCUCUCCAGCUUGAGAUGUGCUUGUAGGAGUCUCAUGAAAUGAGGGACGUUGCCUGCCCGAGUCUCUGGGACCAGCGCCUGGCAUGAGGUAGGAACGAUAUCCUGUAAUCCUCGUUCGUAUUAAUACAGCGUAUUAAUCACACAGCGCGUCUCUAAGCACCUGAGCCAA
RNAcentral lists this long non-coding RNA (376 nucleotides) under Bos indicus x Bos taurus (hybrid cattle). RNAcentral's name for it is "lncRNA (ENSBIXG00000008083.1)". The record is from RNAcentral. Lineage: Eukaryota; Metazoa; Chordata; Mammalia; Artiodactyla; Bovidae.